AUACGGAGGAUCCGAGCGUUAUCCGGAUUUAUUGGGUUUAAAGGGUGCGCAGGCGGCCAUUUAAGUCAGCGGUUAAAUCGUGGGGCUCAACCCCAUUUUGCCGUUGAUACUGGGUGGCUUGAUUGCGGUCGAGGUUGGCGGAAUUCGUUGUGUAGCGGUGAAAUGCAUAGAUAUGACGAAGAACACCGAUUGCGUAGGCAGCUGACCAGACCGCAAAUGACGCUCAUGCACGAAAGUGCGGGGAUCGAACAGGAUUAGAUACCCUGGUAGUCCGCACAGUAAACGAUGAAUACUUGUUUUCGGCGAUAUAAUGUCGGAGGCAAAGCGAAAGCGAUAAGUAUUCCACCUGGGGAGUACGCCGGCAACGGUGAAACUUAAAGGAAUUGGCGGGG
RNAcentral lists this ribosomal RNA (392 nucleotides) under uncultured bacterium. Its description in RNAcentral is "partial 16S ribosomal RNA". It matches the Rfam family "Bacterial small subunit ribosomal RNA", at positions 523 to 918 of the family's 1533-position model. The record is from RNAcentral.